GACGAGCCACACGAACGUUAUUCGGAAUUACUGGGCUUGAAGGGUGCGUAGGCGGUGCGGAAAGUUGGGUGUGAAAUCCCUCGGCUCAACCGAGGAACUGCGCUCAAAACUACCGUACUUGAGGAAGAUAGAGGUGAGCGGAACUUACGGUGGAGCGGUGAAAUGCGUUGAUAUCGUAAGGAACACCCGUGGCGAAAGCGGCUCACUGGGCCUUUUCUGACGCUGAUGCACGAAAGCUAGGGGAGCAAACGGG
Molecule: ribosomal RNA, 253 nt
Filed under: uncultured bacterium
Lineage: Bacteria
Description: partial 16S ribosomal RNA
Rfam family: Bacterial small subunit ribosomal RNA
Source: RNAcentral